RNAcentral lists this non-coding RNA (93 nucleotides) under pig gut metagenome. RNAcentral describes it as "TPP riboswitch (THI element)". It matches the Rfam family "TPP riboswitch aptamer (THI element)", at positions 11 to 88 of the family's 105-position model. From Rfam's summary of the family: Vitamin B(1) in its active form thiamin pyrophosphate (TPP) is an essential coenzyme that is synthesised by coupling of pyrimidine and thiazole moieties in bacteria. The previously detected thiamin-regulatory element, thi box was extended, resulting in a new, highly conserved RNA secondary structure, the THI element, which is widely distributed in eubacteria and also occurs in some archaea. The record is from RNAcentral.
CGAUGGGGAGCCCGCAGCAGCGGGCUGAGAGGGGACUAUUGCUGUCCCGACCCUAGGAACCUGAUUUGGACAAUGCCAACGUAGGGAGAAGAA